This 202-nucleotide ribosomal RNA is filed under the name Taenia sp. CA-2020. RNAcentral's name for it is "partial small subunit ribosomal RNA". The record is from RNAcentral. Lineage: Eukaryota; Metazoa; Platyhelminthes; Cestoda; Cyclophyllidea; Taeniidae.
ACUUUCAUUAUGUUGGUGUAUAUCUGGUUUAAUAUUAUCGUUGAAUAAGCGAGUUUGUGUAAUUUUAUUUAAGCCAAGUCUAUGUGCUGCUUAUGAAAGUAUUCAUGCGUUACAUUUAUAAGGUUUUAGCUGUGAUGUUAAAAUAUUUAGGACUUAAAAGUAAUGUUUAAUAAGUUUGUGAACGUGAAGUAAGUUUAGCUCA